AGUGAACGCUGGCGGCAGGCCUAACACAUGCAAGUCGAGCGGCAGCGCGGGGGCAACCCUGGCGGCGAGCGGCGGACGGGCGAGGAAUGCAUCGGAAUCUGCCUCGUUGUGGGGGAUAACGUAGGGAAACUUACGCUAAUACCGCAUACGACCGAGAGGUGAAAGUGGGGGACCGCAAGGCCUCACGCGAUGAGAUGAGCCGAUGCCGGAUUAGCUAGUUGGUGGGGUAAAGGCCCACCAAGGCGACGAUCCGUAGCUGGUCUGAGAGGAUGAUCAGCCACACUGGAACUGAGACACGGUCCAGACUCCUACGGGAGGCAGCAGUGGGGAAUAUUGGACAAUGGGCGCAAGCCUGAUCCAGCCAUGCCGCGUGUGUGAAGAAGGCCUCGG
RNAcentral lists this ribosomal RNA (390 nucleotides) under uncultured bacterium. RNAcentral describes it as "bacterial SSU rRNA". It matches the Rfam family "Bacterial small subunit ribosomal RNA", at positions 30 to 420 of the family's 1533-position model. The record is from RNAcentral.